UGCGCGGUGAUUUGACCAAUUUGC
This 24-nucleotide non-coding RNA is filed under the name Arabidopsis thaliana (thale cress). The record is from RNAcentral. Lineage: Eukaryota; Viridiplantae; Streptophyta; Magnoliopsida; Brassicales; Brassicaceae.